GAUGAACGCUAGCUACAGGCUUAACACAUGCAAGUCGAGGGGCAUCAUGUCGGUUGCUUGCAACCGAUGAUGGCGACCGGCGCACGGGUGAGUAACGCGUAUCCAACCUUCCGCACACUAAGGGAUAACCCGUUGAAAGACGGCCUAAUACCUUAUGUCCUCCACGGCAGACAUCUAAUGUGGAGUAAAGAUUCAUCGGUGUGUGAUGGGGAUGCGUCUGAUUAGGCAGUUGGCGGGGUAACGGCCCACCAAACCGACGAUCAGUAGGGGUUCUGAGAGGAAGGUCCCCCACAUUGGAACUGAGACACGGUCCAAACUCCUACGGGAGGCAGCAGUGAGGAAUAUUGGUCAAUGGGCGAGAGCCUGAACCAGCCAAGUAGCGUGCAGGACGACGGCCCUAUGGGUUGUAAACUGCUUUUAUGCGGGGAUAAAACGCGGGACGUGUCCCGCCUUGCAGGUACCGCAUGAAUA
This 471-nucleotide ribosomal RNA is filed under the name uncultured bacterium. RNAcentral's name for it is "bacterial SSU rRNA". It matches the Rfam family "Bacterial small subunit ribosomal RNA", at positions 28 to 488 of the family's 1533-position model. The record is from RNAcentral.